AGAGUUUGAUCCUGGCUCAGAACGAACGCUGGCGGCAGGCUUAACACAUGCAAGUCGAGCGCCCCGCAAGGGGAGCGGCAGACGGGUGAGUAACACGUGGGAACGUACCCUUUACUACGGAAUAACGCAGGGAAACUUGUGCUAAUACCGUAUGUGCCCUUCGGGGGAAAGAUUUAUCGGUAAGGGAUCGGCCCGCGUUGGAUUAGCUAGUUGGUGGGGUAAAGGCCUACCAAGGCGACGAUCCAUAGCUGGUCUGAGAGGAUGAUCAGCCACACUGGGACUGAGACACGGCCCAGACUCCUACGGGAGGCAGCAGUGGGGAAUAUUGGACAAUGGGCGCAAGCCUGAUCCAGCCAUGCCGCGUGAGUGAUGAAGGUCUUAGGAUUGUAAAGCUCUUUCACCGGUGAAGAUAAUGACGGUAACCGGAGAAGAAGCCCCGGCUAACUUCGUGCCAGCAGCCGCGGUAAUACGAAGGGGGCUAGCGUUGUUCGGAUUUACUGGGCGUAAAGCGCACGUAGGCGGACUUUUAAGUCAGGGGUGAAAUCCCGGGGCUCAACCCCGGAACUGCCUUUGAUACUGGAAGUCUUGAGUUCGAGAGAG
Molecule: ribosomal RNA, 600 nt
Filed under: uncultured soil bacterium
Lineage: Bacteria
Description: bacterial SSU rRNA
Rfam family: Bacterial small subunit ribosomal RNA
Source: RNAcentral